Molecule: ribosomal RNA, 401 nt
Filed under: uncultured Lactobacillus sp.
Lineage: Bacteria; Bacillati; Bacillota; Bacilli; Lactobacillales; Lactobacillaceae
Description: bacterial SSU rRNA
Rfam family: Bacterial small subunit ribosomal RNA
Source: RNAcentral
CAAAACUAACAGAUUUACUUCGGUAAUGACGUUAGGAAAGCGAGCGGCGGAUGGGUGAGUAACACGUGGGGAACCUGCCCCAUAGUCUGGGAUACCACUUGGAAACAGGUGCUAAUACCGGAUAAGAAAGCAGAUCGCAUGAUCAGCUUUUAAAAGGCGGCGUAAGCUGUCGCUAUGGGAUGGCCCCGCGGUGCAUUAGCUAGUUGGUAAGGUAAAGGCUUACCAAGGCGAUGAUGCAUAGCCGAGUUGAGAGACUGAUCGGCCACAUUGGGACUGAGACACGGCCCAAACUCCUACGGGAGGCAGCAGUAGGGAAUCUUCCACAAUGGACGCAAGUCUGAUGGAGCAACGCCGCGUGAGUGAAGAAGGUUUUCGGAUCGUAAAGCUCUGUUGUUGGUGAA